Molecule: non-coding RNA, 733 nt
Filed under: Krisna nigromarginata
Lineage: Eukaryota; Metazoa; Arthropoda; Insecta; Hemiptera; Cicadellidae
Source: RNAcentral
UUAAAGUUUUAUUCUUUCUUUAUUAUUAAUUAUUUUAAUUAAUUUAUAUGUAUAAAAUAUAUUUUUUUUUUUCAGUAAUUAGUAUUUUAAUAAAUUGUAAUUUUUUUUUAGUAAUUUAUUUAAUAGUUGAUAAAUUUUGUGCCAGCAUUCGCGGUUAUACAUUAAGUUAAAAUUAAUAUUUUAGGUUUAUUAUUUUUAUUUAAUUGAUUAUAAUUUUUUAUAUUUAGGUUAAAUUUAUAUAUUUUUAUUAUUAUUCUUAUGUAAUUAUAUAUAUUAAUUUAUUUGUUUAAACUAGGAUUAGAUACCCUAUUAUAUUUAAUAUAUUUUUCUGAUUAUUAAAAGUUAAGUUCUUUAAAAUUUUAAGAAUUUGGCGGUUAUUUUAAACUUUUUAGAGGAAUAUGUAUUUUAAUUGAUAAUCCACGAUAUUUUCUACUUUUAUUUGAUUUGUAUAUCUCUAUUAAUUGAAUAUUUUUUAAGAAUAAUUUUCUUUUAUUUUAUUAAAUUUAAUUUUAGGUCAAGGUGCAGUUUUAUGAAUGAUUAUAUGUAUUACUUAAAUAUUAAAUUUAUUUUAAUUAAAAACUUUUUGUUUAAUAAUUUUUAGGAUUUAAUAGUAAUUUUAAUUAAUUAAUUAAUUUGAAUUUAGUUCUAAAUAAUGUACAUAUCGCCCGUCACUCCUGAUAACAGGAUAAGUCGUAACAAAGUAGAGUUAAUGGAAAUUGAUUCUAGAAUUUUA